GGAGAGAUGGCUGAGUGGUUGAUAGCUCCGGUCUUGAAAACCGGUAUAGUUUUGAAAAAAAAAGAACUAUCGAGGGUUCGAAUCCCUCUCUCUCCU
This 96-nucleotide transfer RNA is filed under the name Impatiens walleriana. RNAcentral describes it as "tRNA-Ser". It matches the Rfam family "tRNA". Rfam says of the family: Transfer RNA (tRNA) molecules are approximately 80 nucleotides in length. Their secondary structure includes four short double-helical elements and three loops (D, anti-codon, and T loops). RNAcentral also lists the same sequence under 5 other names. The record is from RNAcentral. Lineage: Eukaryota; Viridiplantae; Streptophyta; Magnoliopsida; Ericales; Balsaminaceae.